RNAcentral lists this unclassified non-coding RNA (377 nucleotides) under uncultured Oligoflexaceae bacterium. RNAcentral describes it as "contains 16S-23S intergenic spacer region". Lineage: Bacteria; Pseudomonadati; Bdellovibrionota; Oligoflexia; Oligoflexales; Oligoflexaceae. The record is from RNAcentral.
UCCGGUUUAACACCGGCAGUCCCUCUAGAGUCCCCAACUUAAUGAUGGUAACUAGAGGCAAGGGUUGCGCUCGUUAUUGGACUUAACCAGACAUCUUACGACACGAGCUGACGACAGCCAUGCAGCACCUAUCUCCACGCCCCCGAAAGGGAAACUACAUCUCUGCAGUCGUCGUGGGAUGUUAAGGGUAGGUAAGGUUCUGCGCGUUGCUUCGAAUUAAACCACAUACUCCACCGCUUGUGCGGGCCCCCGUCAAUUCCUUUGAGUUUUAGCCUUGCGACCGUACUCCCCAGGCGGGAUACUUAAUGCGUUAGCUUUAGUACUCAGGAGGUUAACAUCCCGAACACCUAGUAUCCAUAGUUUACGGCGUGGACUAC